This 253-nucleotide ribosomal RNA is filed under the name uncultured bacterium. RNAcentral describes it as "partial 16S ribosomal RNA". It matches the Rfam family "Bacterial small subunit ribosomal RNA", at positions 524 to 776 of the family's 1533-position model. The record is from RNAcentral.
UACGUAGGGGGCAAGCGUUGUCCGGAUUUAUUGGGCGUAAAGAGCGUGUAGGCGGCUGGGUAGGUCCGUUGUGAAAACUCGAGGCUCAACCUCGAGACGCCGAUGGAAACCCUCCAGCUAGAGUCCGGAAGAGGAGAGUGGAAUUCCUGGUGUAGCGGUGAAAUGCGCAGAUAUCAGGAGGAACACCGGUGGCGAAGGCGGGUCUCUGGGCCGAUACUGACGCUGAGGAGCGAAAGCGUGGGGAGCGAACAGG